RNAcentral lists this ribosomal RNA (48 nucleotides) under uncultured fungus. Its description in RNAcentral is "partial 18S ribosomal RNA". Lineage: Eukaryota; Fungi. The record is from RNAcentral.
UAAGUCAGUAACAAGGUCUCCGUUGGUGAACCAGCGGAGGGAUCAUUA